GUGAAGUACGAGUUAGUGGCGGACGGGUGAGUAACGCGUGGAAAACCUGCCGUAUACUGGGGGAUAACACUUUGAAAUAGGUGCUAAUACCGCAUAAGCGCACAGCUUCGCAUGAAGCAGUGUGAAAAACUGAGGUGGUAUACGAUGGUUCCGCGUCUGAUUAGCUAGUUGGUGGGGUAAAAGCCUACCAAGGCAACGAUCAGUAGCCGGCCUGAGAGGGUGAACGGCCACAUUGGGACUGAGACACGGCCCAAACUCCUACGGGAGGCAGCAGUGGGGAAUAUUGCACAAUGGGGGAAACCCUGAUGCAGCGACGCCGCGUGAGUGAAGAAGUAUUUCGGUAUGUAAAGCUCUAUCAGCAGGGAAGAAAUACUGACCAUAGGGUCAGCAGACGGUACUUGACUAAGAAGCCCCGGCUAACUACGUGCCAGCAGCCGCGGUAAUACGUAGGGGGCAAGCGUUAUCCGGAUUUACUGGGUGUAAAGGGAGCGUAGACGGCAGCGCAAGUCUGAAGUGAAAUGCCAGGGCUUAACCCUGGAACUGCUUUGGAAACUGUGCAGCUAGAGUGCAGGAGAGGUAAGUGGAAUUUCUAGUGUAGCGGUGAAAUGCGUAGAUAUUAGGAGGAACACCAGUGGCGAAGGCGGCUUACUGGACUGUAACUGACGUUGAGGCUCGAAAGCGUGGGGAGCAAACAGGAUUAGAUACCCUGG
This 710-nucleotide ribosomal RNA is filed under the name uncultured bacterium. RNAcentral's name for it is "bacterial SSU rRNA". It matches the Rfam family "Bacterial small subunit ribosomal RNA", at positions 80 to 790 of the family's 1533-position model. The record is from RNAcentral.